AGCAGCCGCGGUAAUUCCAGCUCCAAUAGCGUAUAUUAAAGUUGUUGCAGUUAAAAAGCUCGUAGUUGAAUUUCGGGAUUUGUCGGUUGGUCGGGCUUCACUGUCCGCACUGGCCUGAUGGAUUCCUACCUUCUGAAUAACCAGCAUGCUAUUAAUUUAGUGCGUUGGGGAAGCAGAGCUAUUACCUUGAAAAAAUUAGAGUGCUUAAAGCAGGCUUGUGCUUGAAUAGAUUAGCAUGGAAUAAUAAAAUAGGACGGCAUGGUUCUAUUUUGUUGGUUUCUAGGAUCACCGUAAUGAUUAAUAGGGAUAGUUGGGGGCAUUAGUAUUCAAUUGUCAGAGGUGAAAUUCUUGGAUUUAUUGAAGACUAACUUCUGCGAAAGCAUUUGCCAAGGAUGUUUUCAUUAAUCAAGAACGAAAGUUAGGGGAUCGAAGACGAUCAGAUACCGUCGUAGUCUUAACCAUAAACUAUGCCGACUAGGGAUCGGACGAUGUUAAUUUUUUAAUGACUCG
Molecule: ribosomal RNA, 510 nt
Filed under: uncultured Acaulospora
Lineage: Eukaryota; Fungi; Glomeromycota; Glomeromycetes; Diversisporales; Acaulosporaceae
Description: SSU rRNA
Rfam family: Eukaryotic small subunit ribosomal RNA
Source: RNAcentral